UUUCCAAAUAUGACUUCGAAUUUUGAAGAAAAUUAUAUCAAUGUGAUCAUAUUUAAAAACGUAAAAUUACUUGAAAACUUUGGGAAAAACAAUAAUAGAGGAGAAUUCAUAGAUAAUGGUGUUUCAACAAUGAUUUUAUCUCCAUACUAUUAUUCAAGAUUUAAUAAAGUUUUUAUGACUCAAUUUUCUCAAAGUAAAUCCAUAUUGAAUAUUAAUUUCCCUAUGUAAGUGA
Centruroides sculpturatus (bark scorpion) is the source of this 232-nucleotide long non-coding RNA. RefSeq lists it as uncharacterized. Lineage: Eukaryota; Metazoa; Arthropoda; Arachnida; Scorpiones; Buthidae. The record is from RefSeq and is a predicted model, not a curated record. The transcript is spliced from 3 exons.